RNAcentral lists this ribosomal RNA (275 nucleotides) under uncultured bacterium. RNAcentral describes it as "partial 16S ribosomal RNA". It matches the Rfam family "Bacterial small subunit ribosomal RNA", at positions 523 to 796 of the family's 1533-position model. The record is from RNAcentral.
AGACGAAGGGAGCGAGCGUUGUUCGGUAUCACUGGGCUUAAAGGGCGCGUAGGCGGCCAGAUGGGUCGGUUGUGAAAUCCCUGGGCUCAACCCAGGAAUGGCUUCCGAAACUAUUUGGCUUGAGGCAUUCUGGGGGCGACUGGAACUCUUGGUGGAGCGGUGAUAUGCGUAGAUAUCAAGAGGAACGCCAGUGGUGAAGACGGGUCGCUGGGAAUGUCCUGACGCUGAGGCGCGAAAGCUAGGGGAGCGAACGGGAUUAGAAACCCCAGUAGUCC